This 1502-nucleotide long non-coding RNA is filed under the name Ricinus communis (castor bean). RNAcentral describes it as "long non-coding RNA (RCOM_LNC000263)". The record is from RNAcentral. Lineage: Eukaryota; Viridiplantae; Streptophyta; Magnoliopsida; Malpighiales; Euphorbiaceae.
CGCCAGCUCCAUCCAGAAUAUCGAAAACUUCCCUAUCAAAAAAACCCGGCAACUUUCUCUCUCUUCUCAAAUCAUUCCUCAUGACCCAAAACGACUCCGUUUCUUCGCGUAUGUGGUUUUCCCAUUCUUUUAUCUUCUUAUAAUCACCUGCUAAAUUGCUCCAUCUCUUCCUACACUGAACAGGUCCUCUGUUCACUCCAUGUCUUUUACAGUAGGAUGAAACCGAUGCCCAUUUCGGUUCUACCUGACCCGACCCGAAGGCCAUACCCGCCGUCCGUCCUCUUCUAACCCGAUUCUCAGCCACUUUUUUGCCUUGGAUGAGUACGAGAAUUUCUUGUCUAGUCCAGCGAGGGAGUCUGGGGGUUUUGCUGCCGUCAUCUGCGCCGUCGAUAGAGGCAGGCCGGGUGUUGUCAACGCCGUUAGUGGUAUCGCCGUCAACGGUAUUCGAGGUUAAGUUAAAUUGCUGCUGUAAAGCCAUAAUUAAAAGAAAAUGAAAAUGGAUUAAUUUUGAAAAACAAAAAAAAAAAAAACAAAAAAAAGGGCACGUGACUGAAGAAAACGGUUUUAAGGGAAGUAACGGCGUUUAGAGGGAAAGCCCCGUUACGCCGUUUAUGAGAGAGGGCUAUAACAUAUCCUUUCCCGUAAGAUUAGAAUUUAGAGGUGUUAUUAGAUAAGAGAAAAAAAAGAGGGAAUUUGAGAUUAUAGAGAAAGGGCAAAGAGAAAGAGAAAGAGAAAGAGAAAGAGGAGGAGGAGGAGGAGAGGAAGUGGAUUUUUACUGCUUUUACUUUAUACUAUUGCUAUUUGAAUUUGACUAAACCCCCUUUAAUCAAUAAUUAAUUAGGGUCAUAUCUUCAAAUAUUUUAUUUAUAAUUUAAUUAAUUUGAUUGAUUGGGAUUUUGAUUUGGUUCUUGGAUGAGCUAAUAAGGUAGGGUUGUUUCCUUGUUUUGGAGUCAUUAAAAUCAUUGAAAGGGCAUCCUUUUCUUUCAAUUUUAUUAUAAGUUUAAUUAUGGUUAUGGAAUUAACUAUCUUUUUUUUUAUUUAUUUAUUUACCAAAUAAAGUGUGAAUCUAUUUGGGAUUAUUAUUGAAUAUUAUAAAUUAUUUUAUGGGAGUGUUGGAAUAGCUAUUCAGAAAAAAGAAAAAGUUUUUUAUUUUUAUUUUAUAUUUUUAUUAAAUAAAGAAAAAAGAAGAAAUAGUUGUUCAAAAAUCUUAAAAGCACUUCUAGAAAUGUGAUUCCAGACAAAGGCUUAUUAGUACUCUAUAUAGGAAUAUGUUUAUUUCUUCUUCUCUUAGCAUUAAGCAUGUAUCCUUUUCCAUCGUCUUUUUAAAAUAUUUGAUCAAUUAUUUUGUAUUUUAUCUAAUGAGGAACAACGUAUUUAUGGAUUGAUAAUCUUUUCAUUAAAGGUGGAGACAGAGGACUGAAAUUCGUGAUAAGGGCAGCCUACCCUACCACCACUAACGAGGUUUUGUCCACCUUUGUCUCUUUUUUCUUCACCAUUACUCU